Molecule: ribosomal RNA, 424 nt
Filed under: uncultured Oxalobacter sp.
Lineage: Bacteria; Pseudomonadati; Pseudomonadota; Betaproteobacteria; Burkholderiales; Oxalobacteraceae
Description: bacterial SSU rRNA
Rfam family: Bacterial small subunit ribosomal RNA
Source: RNAcentral
CCUACGGGAGGCAGCAGUGAGGAAUAUUGGUCAAUGGACGUAAGUCUGAACCAGCCAAGUAGCGUGAAGGAUGACUGCCCUAUGGGUUGUAAACUUCUUUUAUAAAGGAAUAAAGUCGGGUAUGCAUACCCGUUUGCAUGUACUUUAUGAAUAAGGAUCGGCUAACUCCGUGCCAGCAGCCGCGGUAAUACGGAGGAUCCGAGCGUUAUCCGGAUUUAUUGGGUUUAAAGGGAGCGUAGGUGGAUUGUUAAGUCAGUUGUGAAAGUUUGCGGCUCAACCGUAAAAUUGCAGUUGAAACUGGCAGUCUUGAGUACAGUAGAGGUGGGCGGAAUUCGUGGUGUAGCGGUGAAAUGCUUAGAUAUCACGAAGAACUCCGAUUGCGAAGGCAGCUCACUAGACUGUCACUGACACUGAUGCUCGAAAG